CCGCCAUUACAAGCAGGAAAGGUGCGGGGAUUUGAAUAGUCAUUUGGCCUCCGUUUGGUUCGGGGUUAAGGAAAAAGUAGCUAUUCCAGGGAUAGAGUUAAGUUCAGGGUUAAAGUGGAGUUAAAGUUUUUUUGUGUUUGGUUGGGGGUUGGAGUUAGUCUAGAAUAAUGAAAAAUAGUGUUUGGUUGGAGUAGGUGGGAUAAAAAGAUAAUGAUUGAUAAAGAAGGAUAAUGAUUGGUUGGAGUAUGUGUGAUAAGAAAGAUAGUGGGUUAUUAUGAAUAGAAAAUAGUGUUUGGUUGGAGUUUGGUGGGGUUAGGUGGGGUUAACUAACCCGGGAUAAUUUAUUUGAGGUGGGGUUAGCUAACCCCACCCAUUUUUUGGGGUGUUUGGGGAUAAAAUGGGGGUUAAGGGGUUAUUCCACCCCUUAA
RNAcentral lists this long non-coding RNA (428 nucleotides) under Ananas comosus (pineapple). RNAcentral describes it as "long non-coding RNA (ACOM_LNC000325)". The record is from RNAcentral. Lineage: Eukaryota; Viridiplantae; Streptophyta; Magnoliopsida; Poales; Bromeliaceae.